UGGGGAAUAUUGCACAAUGGGCGCAAGCCUGAUGCAGCCAUGCCGCGUGUAUGAAGAAGGCCUUCGGGUUGUAAAGUACUUUCAGUCGGGAGGAAGGUGGUAAGGUUAAUAACCUUAUCAAGUGACGUUACCGACAGAAGAAGCACCGGCUAACUCCGUGCCAGCAGCCGCGGUAAUACGGAGGGGGCAAGCGUUAAUCGGAAUUACUGGGCGUAAAGCGCACGCAGGCGGUCUGUCAAGUCGGAUGUGAAAUCCCCGGGCACAACCUGGGAACUGCAUUCGAAACUGGCAGGCUAGAGUCUUGUAGAGGGGGGUAGAAUUCCAGGUGUAGCGGUGAAAUGCGUAGAGAUCUGGAGGAAUACCGGUGGCGAAGGCGGCCCCCUGGGCAAAGACUGACGCUCAGGUGCGAAAGCGUGGGGAGCGGACAGG
Molecule: ribosomal RNA, 429 nt
Filed under: Chloroflexota bacterium
Lineage: Bacteria; Bacillati; Chloroflexota
Description: Chloroflexi bacterium partial 16S ribosomal RNA
Rfam family: Bacterial small subunit ribosomal RNA
Source: RNAcentral